Molecule: ribosomal RNA, 497 nt
Filed under: uncultured bacterium
Lineage: Bacteria
Description: partial 16S ribosomal RNA
Rfam family: Bacterial small subunit ribosomal RNA
Source: RNAcentral
GACGAACGCUGGCGGCGUGCCUAAUACAUGCAAGUUGAGCGCUGAAGGUUGGUACUUGUACCAACUGGAUGAGCAGCGAACGGGUGAGUAACGCGUGGGGAAUCUGCCUUUGAGCGGGGGACAACAUUUGGAAACGAAUGCUAAUACCGCAUAAAAACUUUAAACACAAGUUUUAAGUUUGAAAGAUGCAAUUGCAUCACUCAAAGAUGAUCCCGCGUUGUAUUAGCUAGUUGGUGAGGUAAAGGCUCACCUAGGCGAUGAUACAUAGCCGACCUGAGAGGGGGAUCGGCCACAUUGGGACUGAGACACGGCCCAAACUCCUACGGGAGGCAGCAGUAGGGAAUCUUCGGCAAUGGACGAAAGUCUGACCGAGCAACGCCGCGGGAGUGAAGAAGGUUUUCGGAUCGUAAAACUCUGUUGGUAGAGAAGAACGUUGGUGAGAGUGGAAAGCUCAUCAAGUGACGGUAACUACCCAGAAAGGGACGGCUAACUACGUG